GGUCUGGUGGCUCAAUUGGUAGGGCGUCUGACUUCGAUUGAUUUUCACAAAAUUGAAUGAAUAUUCGGAAAUUUAUCAGAAGAUUGCGGGUUCGAGUCCUGUCCGGAUCG
The sequence is a transfer RNA, 110 nucleotides long. It matches the Rfam family "tRNA". Rfam says of the family: Transfer RNA (tRNA) molecules are approximately 80 nucleotides in length. Their secondary structure includes four short double-helical elements and three loops (D, anti-codon, and T loops). Further hydrogen bonds mediate the characteristic L-shaped molecular structure. tRNAs have two regions of fundamental functional importance: the anti-codon, which is responsible for specific mRNA codon recognition, and the 3' end, to which the tRNAs corresponding amino acid is attached (by aminoacyl-tRNA synthetases). tRNAs cope with the degeneracy of the genetic code in two manners: having more than one tRNA (with a specific anti-codon) for a particular amino acid; and 'wobble' base-pairing, i.e. permitting non-standard base-pairing at the 3rd anti-codon position. The record is from Rfam.